Molecule: long non-coding RNA, 1184 nt
Filed under: Pongo abelii (Sumatran orangutan)
Lineage: Eukaryota; Metazoa; Chordata; Mammalia; Primates; Hominidae
Description: lincRNA
Source: RNAcentral
AGUUCAUGCUGUGUACAGAGGGUGUUGAGAAUGCCUCCUACGUGACGGAAAGCAGAUCCGUGGUUCCCUGCAGACCGGCAGGAGCAGAUUCCAAAGGCACAGGAAGAAGCUUGCAGUACAAAGAUAAAAAUCUAAAGUGGUUGCUGUGGAGGACAGGGGUCAGUGGUGGAAGUGAGACUGAAAUGGACUCUGAAGUAAUAUCUGGACUUUGAAAUUGUUUCCUUAACGACAACAAAAAAGGGAGUAAUCCUACCUACUGUAAGAGUCAUGACUCUUGAUUGCAGCUGACAGAAGCUCAUGACAGCCUGGUUUAGAUAAAAGGGGAAAGGACGACUGGAAGAAUCUUGGAGUUGGGAAUAUGGCACAUAAUUGAAGGAAGAGCAAUAAAACUAUAAUUCUUCCCGUGGAGACUGGAGUUUCCAGGAUGUGAAAAUUACCUCUGCUUGGGUGAGCUAUUCCAAGCAGCUGGGAUACCUGUGUCACUCCUGCUGUCUGCCAGUGACUGCCCAGGCAGCUGCUCCCAACCCCAGCAACUUUGCUAUCUUAGAACGGAUCACCAGUGAAAGAGGGGAAGUUGCUACUGUGAUGAAUUCUGCCAUGUGGUACCAGACUGCUGCCCAGACCACAGUGUCCUCUGCAACCCUGGUAACUCACAUACAGGCCUGAUUCCACCUACAGCAAAGCUGGAUGCUAUGGUUGGCAGAGGCAAGCCCCUUGCCUGCACUUCAGGCCAAAGCCGGGAUGUGGCCUAGAUGGUUCCUAAGGUCCCUGACAGUCCUGAGAUCUUUCAUCUUGUCUAUUUCAGGUCAAAGGUGCCUACAUGUUCCUUCUAGCUUUGUUUCCCUGAUGUUCCUUGCCACCUGCUACUCCUCUCUGAGCUACUUUUCCAGGUUCCACAGGGAGAGGUUCAGCUGUCCAUGGUAGACAUGAGGGUAGAGAAUGAGAUGGUUGGGUUCCACUUACCUUUCUAUCAUCUUGCAGUAUGGAUGUCUCUUGACUGGUACCAUGUAGACUUUUGAGGGCAGACAGGAGUCUGCAGAGAGAUACUGGGGAUAUUGAGCAGCAGCAAUGGGGUUGGGAGGCAGAAAUGAGGACAGGAACAUUUACCUUGUGUUUCUCUCAGCUUCUCAGAUGACCAAGAUGGUGCUGCCGAUGGUGUUGAGGACGGAGAACCCACCAAGCCC